GGAAAGAGGUGAGGAAGGAAAUGGCCCAGGGAAAAUGGUCACAUGGGUAGAGGAUUUGAUUGAGCUGUGCAGUACAGAGCCCUGGGCUGGAACCUGGAAGUGAGGUUGGGACUGGAUUCCCCCCCCAGCCCCAAGGAAGCGGUGUACAAAGGUAGCUGAGCCCAGAGAGGGGGCUGCAGUCUGAAUGUGACCUCGCUGAAGAAGGAGCUGUGGAGAGGCUGGAAGCUUUUUAUUUCUGUUAAAAUAGUUUUGAAUUUGAGUGUGGCUCGCUGACCCUGGAAGGAACAGGCUAAAGCCUGUGCCCUGGCUGGAGGGGUGAGUUAUCUGCAAGAAACCACCCCAGCCCCAGAGUGAGUGUUGACAAGGACACUGUGAUGCUCUGCCUGGCCAUGAGGAAGCGCAUAGUGGGUUGAUGCAGACUGGCUGAAUGAGGGAGCCCACCUGAGGAGGAACAAGCUGGACUGGGACUAUAAAGACACGAGAUUGGAAGCAAAAGGACUG
This is a long non-coding RNA of Mauremys mutica (yellowpond turtle), 501 nucleotides long. RefSeq lists it as uncharacterized. The record is from RefSeq and is a predicted model, not a curated record. The transcript has 3 exons. NCBI's taxonomy places the organism in Eukaryota, Metazoa, Chordata, Testudines, Geoemydidae.